RNAcentral lists this non-coding RNA (805 nucleotides) under Saccharothrix sp. NRRL B-16348. RNAcentral's name for it is "bacterial LSU rRNA". It matches the Rfam family "Bacterial large subunit ribosomal RNA", at positions 403 to 1211 of the family's 2925-position model. Lineage: Bacteria; Bacillati; Actinomycetota; Actinomycetes; Pseudonocardiales; Pseudonocardiaceae. The record is from RNAcentral.
UGUUCCCAAGUAGCAGCGUACUCGUGAAAUUCGCUGUGAAUCUGGCGGGACCACCCGCUAAGCCUGAAUACUCCCUGGUGACCGAUAGCGGACUAGUACCGUGAGGGAAAGGUGAAAAGUACCCCGGGAGGGGAGUGAAAUAGUACCUGAAACCGUGUGCCUACAAUCCGUCGGAGCCUUUAGGGGUGACGGCGUGCCUUUUGAAGAAUGAGCCUGCGAGUUAGUGCUGCGUGGCGAGGUUAACCCGUGUGGGGUAGCCGUAGCGAAAGCGAGUCCGAAUAGGGCGAUGUAGUCGCGUGGUCUAGACCCGAAGCGGAGUGAUCUAGCCAUGGCCAGGGUGAAGCGUGGGUAAGACCGCGUGGAGGCCCGAACCCACCAGGGUUGAAAACCUGGGGGAUGAGCUGUGGUUAGGGGUGAAAGGCCAAUCAAACUCCGUGAUAGCUGGUUCUCCCCGAAAUGCAUUUAGGUGCAGCGUCGUGUGUUUCGUGCCGGAGGUAGAGCACUGGAUGGUCUAGGGGGCCCACAAGCUUACCGAAAUCAACCAAACUCCGAAUGCCGGUACGUGAGAGCGCGGCAGUGAGACUGCGGGGGAUAAGCUUCGUAGUCGAGAGGGAAACAGCCCAGAACGCCGGCUAAGGCCCCUAAGUGUGUGCUAAGUGGGAAAGGAUGUGGGGUCGCCCAGACAACCAGGAGGUUGGCUUAGAAGCAGCCACCCUUUAAAGAGUGCGUAAUAGCUCACUGGUCAAGUGGUCCUGCGCCGACAAUGUAGCGGGGCUCAAGCACACCGCCGAAGCCGUGUCAUUUC